GCCUGGGUGGCUCAGUCGGUUGAGCGUCCGACUUCGGCUAGGGUCAUGAUCUCGCGGUUCGUGAGUUCGAGCCCCACAUCAGGCU
RNAcentral lists this transfer RNA (85 nucleotides) under Felis catus (domestic cat). It matches the Rfam family "tRNA". From Rfam's summary of the family: Transfer RNA (tRNA) molecules are approximately 80 nucleotides in length. Their secondary structure includes four short double-helical elements and three loops (D, anti-codon, and T loops). Lineage: Eukaryota; Metazoa; Chordata; Mammalia; Carnivora; Felidae. The record is from Rfam by way of RNAcentral.